GAUGAACGCUGGCGGCGUGCCUAACACAUGCAAGUCGAGCGGCAGCGCGGGGUGCUUGCACCCUGUCGGCGAGCGGCGGACGGCUGAGUAACGCGUGGGAACGUGCCCCAAAGUGAGGAAUAACUGCCCGAAAGGGUAGCUAAUACCGCAUAUUAUCUUCGGAUCAAAGGAUUUAUCCGCUUUGGGAGCGGCUCGCGUCGGAUUAGGUAGUUGGUGAGGUAAUGGCUCACCAAGCCGACGAUCCGUAGCUGGUCUGAGAGGAUGACCAGCCAGACUGGAACUGAGACGCGGUCCAGACUCCUACGGGAGGGAGCAGUGAGGAAUCUACCACAAUGGGCGAAAGGCUGAUGGAGCAACGCCGCGUGCAGGACGAAGGCCUUCGGGUUGUAAACUGCUUUUAUAAGUGAGGAAUAUGACGGUAACUUAUGAAUAAGGAUCGGCUAACUACGUG
This 451-nucleotide ribosomal RNA is filed under the name uncultured bacterium. Its description in RNAcentral is "partial 16S ribosomal RNA". It matches the Rfam family "Bacterial small subunit ribosomal RNA", at positions 28 to 507 of the family's 1533-position model. The record is from RNAcentral.